AUUGAACGCUGGCGGCAGGCCUAACACAUGCAAGUCGAGCGUGAAAGGGCUUCGGCCUGAGUAAAGCGGCGGACGGGUGAGUAACGCGUAGGAAUCUACCUGGUAGUGGGGGAUAACGUUCCGAAAGGGACGCUAAUACCGCAUACGUUCCGAGGAAGAAAGCGGGGGAUCGCAAGACCUCGCGCUAUCAGAUGAGCCUGCGUCCGAUUAGCUAGUUGGUGGGGUAAAGGCCUACCAAGGCGACGAUCGGUAACUGGUCUGAGAGGAUGAUCAGUCACACUGGAACUGAGACACGGUCCAGACUCCUACGGGAGGCAGCAGUGGGGAAUAUUGGACAAUGGGCGCAAGCCUGAUCCAGCCAUGCCGCGUGUGUGAAGAAGGCCUCGGUUGUAAGU
This 395-nucleotide ribosomal RNA is filed under the name uncultured bacterium. Its description in RNAcentral is "bacterial SSU rRNA". It matches the Rfam family "Bacterial small subunit ribosomal RNA", at positions 30 to 430 of the family's 1533-position model. The record is from RNAcentral.